UUAGCUCAUAUUUGUAUGGAAUGGGAUCGUUUGCGUACGUUUGCCGCUUGGGGCGCUGUUCCAACUGCAUACAAAAUUGGGCUA
Molecule: microRNA precursor, 84 nt
Filed under: Bombyx mori (domestic silkworm)
Lineage: Eukaryota; Metazoa; Arthropoda; Insecta; Lepidoptera; Bombycidae
Description: mir-2807 microRNA precursor family
Rfam family: mir-2807 microRNA precursor family
Source: Rfam by way of RNAcentral